GCAGUGGUGGAUCAAUGGUAGAAUUCUUGCCUUCCAAGUGGGAGACCCAGGUUCAAGUUCUGGCCAAUUCA
RNAcentral lists this transfer RNA (71 nucleotides) under Loxodonta africana (African savanna elephant). It matches the Rfam family "tRNA". Rfam says of the family: Transfer RNA (tRNA) molecules are approximately 80 nucleotides in length. Their secondary structure includes four short double-helical elements and three loops (D, anti-codon, and T loops). Further hydrogen bonds mediate the characteristic L-shaped molecular structure. tRNAs have two regions of fundamental functional importance: the anti-codon, which is responsible for specific mRNA codon recognition, and the 3' end, to which the tRNAs corresponding amino acid is attached (by aminoacyl-tRNA synthetases). tRNAs cope with the degeneracy of the genetic code in two manners: having more than one tRNA (with a specific anti-codon) for a particular amino acid; and 'wobble' base-pairing, i.e. permitting non-standard base-pairing at the 3rd anti-codon position. Lineage: Eukaryota; Metazoa; Chordata; Mammalia; Proboscidea; Elephantidae. The record is from Rfam by way of RNAcentral.